UACGGAGGAUGCAAGCGUUAUCCGGAAUUAUUGGGCGUAAAGCGUCCGUAGGUGGCCGUUCAAGUCUGCUGUCAAAGGCUGGGGCUUAACUCCAGACAGGCAGUGGAAACUGAACAGCUAGAGUGUGGUAGGGGUAGAGGGAAUUCCCGGUGUAGCGGUGAAAUGCGUAGAGAUCGGGAAGAACACCGGUGGCGAAAGCGCUCUGCUGGACCACAACUGACACUGAGGGACGAAAGCCAGGGUAGCAAACGGG
This 253-nucleotide ribosomal RNA is filed under the name uncultured bacterium. RNAcentral's name for it is "partial 16S ribosomal RNA". It matches the Rfam family "Bacterial small subunit ribosomal RNA", at positions 524 to 776 of the family's 1533-position model. The record is from RNAcentral.